CCUACGGGCGACAGCAGUGAGGAAUAUUGGUCAAUGGACGCAAGUCUGAACCAGCCAUGCCGCGUGCAGGAAGACGGCUCUAUGAGUUGUAAACUGCUUUUAUACGGGAAUAACGCGCCUUACGUGUAGGGCUUUGCAUGUACCGUAUGAAUAAGGACCGGCUAAUUCCGUGCCAGCAGCCGCGGUAAUACGGAAGGUCCGGGCGUUAUCCGGAUUUAUUGGGUUUAAAGGGAGCGUAGGCCGCAUGUCAAGCGUGCUGUGAAAUGUCCGGGCUCAACCCGGGCCUUGCAGCGCGAACUGGCGUGCUUGAGUCCGCGGAAAGCAGGCGGAAUUCGUCGUGUAGCGGUGAAAUGCUUAGAUAUGACGAAGAACCCCGAUUGCGAAGGCAGCUUGCUGCAGCGGAACUGACGCUGAUGCUCGAAAGCGCGGGUAUCGAACAGGAUUAGAUACCCUUGUAGUC
Molecule: ribosomal RNA, 460 nt
Filed under: uncultured bacterium
Lineage: Bacteria
Description: partial 16S ribosomal RNA
Rfam family: Bacterial small subunit ribosomal RNA
Source: RNAcentral